CCACCUUUUAACACAGCUUCCUUGUCCGAUAUUUUCCCUUUUGCACCAAUGCCCCUGUGAACGCCCUCUGACUUGCGAAGAAAAAGAGAACUAACCACAUCCUGUGCUCAAGCUCUACAAUGCCUCACUUCGUCAUUAAAUUAUUGAUCUUGGUGACUUGGUUGUCUCAAGCUCAAGGUCGAGAAAUCCAUCCAGCAAGGAUUUAUGCAGUUAAAAACAGCGGCAAACUGGAGUUCACAUGCAGUACACAUGGGAUGAAGGAAACAUUCGAGAAGAACAGCAACUUAUAUAUUUACCUCUGUAGGAAUGGCACUGGCAUAGCCAUGAAAUCAGAUUGUCAAGAUGUUACAUUUAUUAUAGACGACAUUACAAAGGAUGAUACAGGAGACUACAGUUGUGUCUUUUCAUCGUAUAAGUAUGAUCCUGAGGAUGUAAGAGGAAAUGGCAUCAAUUCCAUCUUCAUUACUGUGAACGAUUCGUUCAUCCCGGCGGAGAUAGCCUCGACGGAGACGAGUGUAAAAAUGGGAAGUGAUGUUGAUCUCCAGUGUACCUCUUUAAAAUUACCCGAGAGGAACCAGAAAGGCAACGUUUAUGCCUAUCUGUACAAGAACGGUUACACAGUGCAGAACGGCACUGUAAUUCAGGUGAAUAUUUGGGACACAGUGAAGAACAAGGCAAGGUUUACUCUAAAAGAAGUCACGAUGCGAGACGCUGGAACGUACUUCUGUUUUCUGAUGUCGGAGCCAUGCACUUUUCCUAAAGAAGUGCAUGGCAUCAAUGAAGUCAACCUUAACAUUACUGAUCCAAGAUAUGAAGUUAUACUCACUGAGACAUAUGAUCCAGUGCGGAAGAGAAAUAUUUUACGAUUAGGAUUCUCGGGUGGAGUGAUCAUUAUUGCAUGUUGCAUCGUGAUUUUCGACUUCAAGACAAGCUCACGUUCUUCCAGCUCAGUCUAAGCCAAGGAUAGGAAUGAUUCAUAAAAUUCAACAUGUCUAGUCUGAUGUCAACAUUGUGAGUCUUGUGUAUUACCCAGUGUGUUUUUUUUUUUUUUUGCUGUUUUACAUACAGGUGAAUAUUCAGGAGCUAACAUGAUGAAAUAUUUCAUGUGGAAUCAAAAAUGGUACUAGAGUAAAAUUGUAACAUGUUUAGGAGAACUGAGUCAUGGCAGAAGAUGUUUAAGCUCAACAGAAGUGAAUAAACCGUUAUAAUUAAUGU
Ictalurus punctatus (channel catfish) is the source of this 1215-nucleotide long non-coding RNA. The record is from Ensembl. NCBI's taxonomy places the organism in Eukaryota, Metazoa, Chordata, Actinopteri, Siluriformes, Ictaluridae.